GACGAACGCUGGCGGCGUGCUUAACACAUGCAAGUCGAACGGAAAGGCCCUGCUUUUGGGGGGUGCUCGAGUGGCGAACGGUUGAGUAACACGUGAGUAACCUGCCCUUGACUUUGGGAUAACUUCAGGAAACUGGGGCUAAUACCGGAUAGGAGCUCCUGCUGCAUGGUGGGGGUUGGAAAGUUUCGGCGGUUGGGGAUGGACUCGCAGCUUAUCAGCUUGUUGGUGGGGUAGUGGCUUACCAAGGCUUUGACGGGUAGCCGGCCUGAGAGGGUGACCGGCCACAUUGGGACUGAGAUACGGCCCAGACUCCUACGGGAGGCAGCAGUGGGGAAUAUUGCACAAUGGGCGGAAGCCUGAUGCAGCAACGCCGCGUGCGGGAUGACGGCCUUCGGGUUGUAAACCGCUUUCGCCUGUGACGAAGCGUGAGUGACGGUAAUGGGUAAAGAAGCACCGGCUAACUACGUG
This 468-nucleotide ribosomal RNA is filed under the name uncultured bacterium. RNAcentral describes it as "partial 16S ribosomal RNA". It matches the Rfam family "Bacterial small subunit ribosomal RNA", at positions 28 to 507 of the family's 1533-position model. The record is from RNAcentral.